This is a long non-coding RNA of Oncorhynchus tshawytscha (Chinook salmon), 257 nucleotides long. The record is from Ensembl. Lineage: Eukaryota; Metazoa; Chordata; Actinopteri; Salmoniformes; Salmonidae.
GCUGGACCCGCUUUCGAGUCUGGGCUAGCCCCAAAUUCGCUGCACUGGGAUCAAGUGGGAUGGCACCCGCGAGGUCCAUUGGGGAGGCAUGUACAUGUGAGGGACUUUGUUUUAGAGAAGCAUGUGGACACACUCUCCCUAGAAUAUAUGUCCUCCAGACGUUAUGUUGGAAGUCUUUUAUACCAAGUCUCACCACAAGGGGGAGACAGGCAUUUGUGAGCUCUGGUUGGUGAUGUACUUUGACAUUGGUGCCACUU